RNAcentral lists this long non-coding RNA (3352 nucleotides) under Nicotiana benthamiana. RNAcentral's name for it is "long non-coding RNA (NBEN_LNC014007)". Lineage: Eukaryota; Viridiplantae; Streptophyta; Magnoliopsida; Solanales; Solanaceae. The record is from RNAcentral.
ACAAACCAACCAUCUCAAUUUUCUUCACAAUUCAAAACAAGCAGGUUAGAAUGGACUCAGUCGGUUCUCAUUAUUAACAACAUCUUUUUAUUCAUUUUUUCUUUUCCAUUUUUUCAAUUUUUUUUAUGCUUCUUUUUUUGUGUGUGGUCGAAUCUUAUGGAGAUUUCCUACGUAUCAUGACCUCGCAUGAAUCAGACCGUGCGUAGUUCGAGCCAAUAAAAAGUAAACAACAAUGAAACCUUUUUGGAAUUUUCAACUUUCAUAAUAAAACCAACUUUAAUUACAAUGGUUUAAAAACGGACCAAACUAUCAAAAUUUGACGAAAAGACAAUAUAACGGACUCGAAAAUCAAACAACCCGCAUAUUCUAUCAAAAGAGUAACAAACUCAAAAACAAAAAGAAAAAUUCAUUUCCCUAUUUGCCACUUUCAGCUAAAUGACUAUUUCUGCAAUGUGGCCCUCUCUCAAUUCACAUGAAUUUUGAGGCCAAAAAAAUUAUUUCACGACACUCUACAAACUUGUCCAUUCUUUUACGAAAGUAGCAUUUCAACAAAUGAAAGAUACUCUAAGGCUAUCUCGGCAAGAACGGUUUAAUACAUUGCCGAAGCUGGCUCGGCUAAUUUUUGACUAAAAAUUUGAACGGGAAUCACUUGCCCACUAACUCUUUUUUUUCAAAUUAAAAUAAAAGGCCAAGUUUUGCAAAGACGGCCUUUCUCCAUCGGGGGCGAAGAUUUUAAGGUUGUGUGGGUCAGCUGGCCAAAAUCUCAAAACAUGACCCAAAGGUGGCUGUUUAUACAAAGUCAGCCUUCUGGCGCCCCAUUCGGGAACAUUCGGCUAUUUUUUUGAUAAAAACAACAUCACCCGACUUAUUUAUGACGAAAAUAAAAACUUUGAUAUUUUUUCUAUUUUUCGCAAAAAUUGGGUUGGACCCGAUUAGGGCUGCCUACGUAUCUCACAUCCGGUGAGAAUCAAACCACCAUAGUUCGCCCAGGAGAACAAACUAAAUUUGAAAAUAAGACUCUUUUCUUUUGUUGUUUUUCCAACUAAAUCAAAGUAAAAGUGACUCUCUCUUUUUUUCAAAAUUUAGGUAGAGUUCCGCCACUAUUUGGAAAUUGAUUUUCUAAAAACAUGUAAUUAACACUCUACACUGCUAAUUUUUUUUCUUUUUCUCAUAAUUUUCCAAUAUUCAAAACCGCUCAGCAUGCCAGUAUGAAGCAAAUAAAUGCAUAAAACAUACAGGAUGCAGCAUGAUGGUCUUAUUACUUCAGGUUGCUUGUCCUAUACGGACCCAACCCCUGUGUUGAGUCCCCUAAGUCAAAUGCAUAUGAUGCAAAUAAACGUUCCUACUAGGGAUCUGGCAUGAAGUCUUGUCAAAACUAGGUUUUAAUGCCUUGGGUGUGAAGAGUAUCUAGACUGGCCAUAAAACGAGCGGACAACUCGAGUUGGGAAGGGGUAGCGUACCGGGAGCAAUGCUUUUCCGACUUUAGCUAUUAGACCCUUCUCUUUCUUAAAUAUGGGCGACUGAUAAUCCUUCACCGGGAGCCCAGGCCCACCGGCUUUAUCUCAACAAAUAACGAGGCGCGUAUCCGCGAUUCCCGAGGUUGUAUUCAGAAGACUCAUAGGGGGUGCGCAAGAAGACAAUUUAUAAUACAGUUCAACAAUAUCAAAGCUGUAAAACAGUCAACUAGCACAGUAAGAACAAAUAAUAUAACCAAAUCAGAUAAAGCCAAACAUAACCAUUUAUCUAAGCUCGAAUUUCUAACCAUGAACCAGUGGUUUUCGGUUAAAUCCCCAUCAGAGUCGCCAGAGCUGUCACACCUUAUUUUUCCGGCACCCGCGAGAGCACAGAGGGAGUUUUUUUCCAAAUAAAGGACAAUCAAAAUGGGAUUAUUUAUUAAGAUUCAGAGUCGCACUUGGGAGAUUUAUGGUGUCCCAAGUCACCGGUUUUAAUCCCGAAUCGAGGAAAAGAAUGACUAUGUUUAACAGUUUGCGAACCAGAAAUCCGGAUAAGGAAUUCUGUUAACCCGGAAGAAGGUGUUAGGCAUUCCCGAGUUCCGUGGUUAUAGCACGGUCACUCAACUGUCAUAUUCGGCUUAUUUAUCUGAUUUUAUAUAAUUGCGAACUUAUGUGCAAAUCUUAACUUUUAACCGCUUUUAUUAUUAUUAUUAUUAUUAUUAUUGUUAUUAUUAUUAUUAUUAUUAUUAUUAUUAUUAUUUUUAUUAUUUUUACAGAGAAUUGUAACGUUAUGAAAACGCAUCUAGAACCAUGUCACAACCAGUGUACACGUGAUUUGUCGACGUAUUUUUACUUCGUUGGAAUUUGGAUUUGGGUCACAUAAAUGUACACCCAUGUUUAGGGAGGAAAUAUUAUUGAAAUACGCACCUAAAGAGUCUAGCGCAUUAUUAUUUUGGGGAAGGCCGUGCAAUUCGCUAAACAGCUCAUCCCGAAGUCUAAAUAUUUAUUACCAUCCAGUGAGGGCCCCGCAGCCUGUACGUUUUAUUUGGCGAGGCUCGUCUCGUUUAUUUUUUUUUAAAAGGAUAUCCUAAAGCGACAACAUUUUCUAUUUUGUUUGUCUCUAAAAUAAAGGAAGAAAAGUACAUAAUUUAUUUACAUGCUUGAGAGUUAUUAUAACUAAUUUUCGAACAUGAUUCAUUAAAUUAAAAAAGAACGUAAUAAAUAUUCCGUUUGACAGUUGCGGGCCCAGGCCCAACGUGUACGGCAUAAUCUGGACUUGGGCCGUCCUUAUUCUGAUUGAGGCAUAAUUAAUUUAUUCUACAUAUUACUACCUAGUUACAUUAUACUAUACAUGCUCGCAUCUUGUCAAAUUAAAAAGGUGAACUUGUAUUAUUUUUUGUUAACAGAUUUUCUGCAAAUUUAGAGUGGCAUGCUAUUGGAGUGAAAGAACUUAAAAAAUCUGAUUUUUAUCCUAAACCGCUUGCAUGUUAAAAUUAAUCAAUAAUAUCGAGCAUGCUUCUUGACAAGUAAUAACGAAUUAACACAACAUGGCUAUUUAUACGCAAACAAAUAACUACAUGACUCUAAAUAAAAGAAGUAUUUUACUGUAUAUACGAGCAAGUAGACAACUACAACGAAUUUAAAACUUCAACUCUUUAUUUCUUAUUCAUGCUUCAUGUUAUCAACUUACAAGGUGUACCAAUUGUGUACCUGAUAUUAGAAGCAAAAGGGAGAAGGAAAAAAUUCAGCAAGUCAGUAAUCAACACAGCAAAAGAGCAACAACAGUAGCUAAACUCAUCAGCCGAUUUUAACAAAACCCGGUAGAAUCAACCCAGAAAAUCCAACAGAAAUGGACUUCAACUCACAGCAAUAUCAUAACAAGCCGAAUGAACUCAAAG